Long non-coding RNA from Daucus carota subsp. sativus, 356 nucleotides. RefSeq lists it as uncharacterized. The record is from RefSeq and is a predicted model, not a curated record. The transcript has 3 exons. Lineage: Eukaryota; Viridiplantae; Streptophyta; Magnoliopsida; Apiales; Apiaceae.
GUAGUGCUGAAACUCUAAACCUAAACAAUUGUUCCUUCUUGUACCCAAAUCAUUCUUAUACCCAAAUCAUGGCCAUACUAUUUUAGCUUGGAAUCAACACUUGAAAUCAAGAAAGGAGAGUUGCCUUAUUCUUUGAUCAGGAUGCAAAGCAAAAUGAAUAUAUAUGUGCAUCAUCACGGAGAGCUUAAUUAUGAUGGUAUCAACUGCUAUAAUGGAGGGAAGAUAUUACUCACGAAGCGGAGACGGAAAAAAUUUACAGAGCUUAUUACUCUGACAAGCUUGGGACGUCCAUAAUUGUCAUGAAACCAAGUUACGAGAUCUUAUUAAAUCUGGCGGACUCUUGUUUACAGGAGCAA